RNAcentral lists this ribosomal RNA (478 nucleotides) under uncultured organism. RNAcentral describes it as "partial 16S ribosomal RNA". It matches the Rfam family "Bacterial small subunit ribosomal RNA", at positions 331 to 800 of the family's 1533-position model. The record is from RNAcentral.
GUACACUCCUACGGGAGGCAGCAGUGGGGAAUAUUGCACAAUGGGCGCAAGCCUGAUGCAGUCAUGCCGCGUGUAUGAAGAAGGCCUUCGGGUUGUAAAGUACUUUCAGCGGGGAGGAAGGCGAUAAGGUUAAUAACCUUGUCGAUUGACGUUACCCGCAGAAGAAGCACCGGCUAACUCCGUGCCAGCAGCCGCGGUAAUACGGAGGGUGCAAGCGUUAAUCGGAAUUACUGGGCGUAAAGCGCACGCAGGCGGUCUGUCAAGUCGGAUGUGAAAUCCCCGGGCUCAACCUGGGAACUGCAUUCGAAACUGGCAGGCUAGAGUCUUGUAGAGGGGGGUAGAAUUCCAGGUGUAGCGGUGAAAUGCGUAGAGAUCUGGAGGAAUACCGGUGGCGAAGGCGGCCCCCUGGACAAAGACUGACGCUCAGGUGCGAAAGCGUGGGGAGCAAACAGGAUUAGAAACCCCUGUAGUCCCAUGA